This is a long non-coding RNA of Zophobas morio, 219 nucleotides long. RefSeq lists it as uncharacterized. NCBI's taxonomy places the organism in Eukaryota, Metazoa, Arthropoda, Insecta, Coleoptera, Tenebrionidae. The transcript has 3 exons. The record is from RefSeq and is a predicted model, not a curated record.
GCCUUGCGCGUUGGGUAGGUUUCUUGGAUAUCAAAUUCAAUAUCUUAAGCAAGAAUCCACUCCGCGUCCAUAAUAACGGGUACACUGUUAUUCUCAAAAAUGCUGCUGUCUGGCAAACUUUAGAACAAAUUGAAGUACUUGUUUCCUGCCCACUUUCUCCCAGUCUUCAGCUUACUUUUAAAGGACUUGAAGAAAAAAAGAUGUUUUCAGUUUUUAUAA